Molecule: non-coding RNA, 640 nt
Organism: Cyanistes caeruleus (blue tit)
Lineage: Eukaryota; Metazoa; Chordata; Aves; Passeriformes; Paridae
Source: RefSeq, a predicted model, not a curated record
CUUUCUACUCAGGUAGAUGUGAGCUGCACAAUCCCUCUUGGAUUCACCUCUUCCCGCUGAGUCCCUCUACAAGGUGCAGCUCCAAGUGCUGCUCCACGUGCUCUCUGACUCCUUUAUCUGCAAGGCUCCUUCCUUCUCCUCUCACACAUUGAGUCUAGCUGCCUCAGAGCUGCUGCCCCACACAAUCUUCUCUGCACCAGACCUCUUCAGCAUCUUGGCUUUCAUCUGCUGUGGAAGCAAGAACAAUCAGUGGAUUGAAUGCAGGAACUCUUAGACUGGGAAGACUAAACUGCUGUAAUGAGUUUCCUCAAUCUACAUUCACCAAAAGAAUCUUGCAGAAGCUGAUAAAACAAAAUCCCUUAGUGCUGUGCCACAACUUCAGAGAAAAUCGUGGGGAAGAGUGAGGGCAGGAGGGGAUUCUGAAAGCUGUGGAGUGGUACUGUGAUACAGCAAGGAGAAGCUCCAGAACUGAAAACUUUGUAAAUAAAAUUUCAAGGCUGCAGCUGGUGAGUGAAAUUCAGUGUGAAGUUCACAGGAUCAUUAAGGUUGGGAAAAACCUUUAAGAUCAUUAACCCAGCUCUGUCAUGUCCACCACUAAACCAUGUCUCCAAGCAUCACAUCUACAUGUUUCUUGGACAUU